RNAcentral lists this transfer RNA (75 nucleotides) under Halovulum marinum. RNAcentral's name for it is "Rhodobacteraceae bacterium 2CG4 tRNA-Gly". It matches the Rfam family "tRNA". Rfam says of the family: Transfer RNA (tRNA) molecules are approximately 80 nucleotides in length. Their secondary structure includes four short double-helical elements and three loops (D, anti-codon, and T loops). Lineage: Bacteria; Pseudomonadati; Pseudomonadota; Alphaproteobacteria; Rhodobacterales; Paracoccaceae. The record is from RNAcentral.
GCGGCAGUAGCUCAGAGGUAGAGCACCACCUUGCCAAGGUGGGGGUCGAGGGUUCGAGUCCCACUUGCCGCUCCA